Rhipicephalus microplus (southern cattle tick) is the source of this 499-nucleotide long non-coding RNA. Lineage: Eukaryota; Metazoa; Arthropoda; Arachnida; Ixodida; Ixodidae. The record is from RefSeq and is a predicted model, not a curated record.
AGAUGAAAGAGGUCCUUAAUGUGCUUCCAACAAAAACGACACGAGAAGUGGCCAUCAGAGGUGAUCCUAAUCACAUGAAAUGCCAAGAAAUUUCACAGCUUAUCGGGAAAGAGCCGCCGUUUUCGAUGGGCUGCGGCUCAGGUGUCACGUACAACAAAAGCCUUCGACCUGACAUUAUUCGAGAAGUGGUCGGAAGUAUUCACUCACCUCCAGUUGUGGCGUAAUCAGGACCGCAAAACCUAGUUUGGCCUUGCUCAUAGACAGGGCACCUGCAUGCGCCGGCUGGGUUCGUCUGCGGACCUGUGCAAUGCGGAAAGACGGAAGAGACGCUCACAAAAAUUGUCAACGAAGUCUGUGUCAUCAUCCCGCAUGGCGUUGAGAGGUGCCGUUGCCAUGACGACGUUGCGAUUCGUCCCGUCGCCCCCUAUCUAAUGCUCCUUCGGGAAAAGCACGCAUGACGUGUUCGCUGAACAAUAAACUACUGUCUGGCUGCUCACUU